This 328-nucleotide unclassified non-coding RNA is filed under the name soil metagenome. RNAcentral describes it as "partial contains 5.8S ribosomal RNA, internal transcribed spacer 2, and large subunit ribosomal RNA". The stretch from base 1 to 120 matches the Rfam family "5.8S ribosomal RNA", at positions 35 to 154 of the family's 154-position model. The record is from RNAcentral.
GAUGAAGAACGCAGCGAAAUGCGAUAAGUAAUGUGAAUUGCAGAAUUCAGUGAAUCAUCGAAUCUUUGAACGCACAUUGCGCCCCCUGGUAUUCCGGGGGGCAUGCCUGUCCGAGCGUCAUUACAACCCUCAAGCUCAGCUUGGUGUUGGGCCCCGCCGCCCCGGCGGGCCCUAAAGUCAGUGGCGGUGCCGUCCGGCUCCGAGCGUAGUAAUUCUUCUCGCUCUGGAGGUCCGGUCGUGUGCUCGCCAGCAACCCCCAAUUUUUUAAGGUUGACCUCGGAUCAGGUAGGGAUACCCGCUGAACUUAAGCGUAUCAAUAAGCGGAGGA